CCUACGGGUGGCAGCAGUGAGGAAUAUUGGUCAAUGGACGGAAGUCUGAACCAGCCAUGCCGCGUGCAGGAAGACGGCUCUAUGAGUUGUAAACUGCUGUUGUACAAGGGAAAACCGGAAUACGUGUAUUCAGCUGAAAGAACUGUACGAAUAAGGAUCGGCUAACUCCGUGCCAGCAGCCGCGGUAAUACGGAGGAUCCAAGCGUUAUCCGGAUUUAUUGGGUUUAAAGGGUGCGUAGGCGGAUUGAUAAGUUAGAGGUGAAAUGUCCGAGCUUAACUCGGGAACUGCCUCUCAUACUGUUGAUCUUGAGCGUAGAUGCGGUAGGCGGCAUGUCUGGUGUAGCGGUGACAUGCUUAGAGAUCAUACAGAACACCGAUUGCGCAGGCAGCUUACCAAUCUAUAUCUGACGUUGCGGCACGAUCGCGUGGGGAGCAAACAGGAUUAGAUACCCGAGUAGUC
Molecule: ribosomal RNA, 460 nt
Filed under: uncultured bacterium
Lineage: Bacteria
Description: partial 16S ribosomal RNA
Rfam family: Bacterial small subunit ribosomal RNA
Source: RNAcentral